This 527-nucleotide ribosomal RNA is filed under the name uncultured bacterium. RNAcentral describes it as "bacterial SSU rRNA". It matches the Rfam family "Bacterial small subunit ribosomal RNA", at positions 14 to 518 of the family's 1533-position model. The record is from RNAcentral.
CGAUUCUGGCUCAGAACGAACGCUGGUAGCGUGGAUUAGGCAUGCAAGUCGAACGGGAUCCGGAAGGUAGCAAUAUCGUCCGGUGAGAGUGGCGGAAGGGCGAGGAACGCGUGGACAACCUGUCCAUGGGACGGGGAAAACUCCGGGAAACUGGAGCUAAUACCCGAUACGUCGCGGAGCGGCAUCGCUUCAGCGGCAAAGGGGCGCCGCAAGGGCUCCCGCCCAACGAGGGGUCCGCGUAUCAUCAGCUUGUUGGCGGGUAACGGCCCACCAAGGCUUACGAUUAGCUGGUCUGAGAGGAUGGCCAGCCGCACUGGGACUGAGAUACUGCCCAGACUCCUACGGGAGGCUGCAGUCGAGGAUCAUUCGCAAUGGGGGAAACCCUGACGAUGCGACGCUGCGUGGAGGAAUGAAGGCCUUCGGGUUGUAAACUCCUGUCAUGAGGGAAAAGGCGAGAGUACCCAAUACGUGCUUUAGUUGAUGGUACCUCAAGAGGAAGCGACGGCUAACUCUGUGCCAGCCGCCGC